This 878-nucleotide ribosomal RNA is filed under the name Triticum aestivum (bread wheat). RNAcentral's name for it is "partial small subunit ribosomal RNA". Lineage: Eukaryota; Viridiplantae; Streptophyta; Magnoliopsida; Poales; Poaceae. The record is from RNAcentral.
CCCGAACACUACUUGAUCUUAUCCGAGCGAGCCGUCCGACGGCGCCGCGGCAGCCGGAGUUUUCUCUCCCAUCGGCCGCGCCGCCACCGUGGUCCACCAUGGGCUUGCGGGAAGGUGGCGCGCGACGUUUGGGUUGAGAGACGCGGCAUCCGCGGGAGCUGCCGGCGGCGAGCGAUGACGACUGCCCGCGGUCGGAGCGCGCGCGAUGAUGGCCGCGCGGGCUCACCCAACAAACAAAACAAUCUCCAUUACUUUCUUGCUUACUUGGAAGGGUUUUCAUCUUUUUUUUGAUCGAUUUCUUUUUAUUCGUUUUUCUUGUACUUGCUAUUUGUAUUCCUGAGUAAAUUGUUCUCCGUUUCUUGGGUUCUAACCAAGUUUCUUCUAAGAAGAUAUUUUUAGUGGGUACAGUAGUAUGUUUUUUGUCGAGUAGGAUAUUUUUCAUGCGGAAGUGCAUAUCAAGUAGUAUGGGUUUUUUUUUUUUGCGGAUUCGUGUUUAAUCUCUUGUCCAAUACUACAUAUAUCAACAUCCAUAAUAGUAGAAAGUAAUAUGCUAUUAUGGAUGUUGAUUUGCUGAAAUUUCACAGAAUUCUGAUUAUUAUUAUUCUGCAGGUGUCUUUGAUCCCUCUCUUCGAAGCGGGAAGGGUGCCAGUUUUCCUGUUUGAGACGAAUACAUGACCCGGAGACUGUGAUAGUAUAGUUUACCUAUAAUAAGGUGUCUAAUUUCUUUAGGAGCUGCGCGCUGUAAUCUUUCUCUGAUUGGUUGACGGCUGCCAUGCAGAUUCAGCCUGUUAGUGGAGGAUCCUGUUGUAAUAGUAUGAAUUGUAUUUGUAUGUGACAAAGAUUCAAAGAAAUGCCGUUGUAAUAUGUUUUGCGAGCCC